Peromyscus maniculatus bairdii (prairie deer mouse) is the source of this 254-nucleotide non-coding RNA. NCBI's taxonomy places the organism in Eukaryota, Metazoa, Chordata, Mammalia, Rodentia, Cricetidae. The record is from RefSeq and is a predicted model, not a curated record.
CCACGCAUCUUCUUAUUGGGCCCAGGCCUCUUCAGGGUCAGGGAUAGGCCCAGGCCCACAUCUCUUCUUGUUAGGGCCCAGGCCUCUUCAGGAUCAGGGAUAGGCCCAGGCCCAUAUCUCUUCAUGUUGGGCCCAGGCCUCUCAGGGUCAGGGUUAGGCCCAGGCCCAUAUCUCUUCUUGUUAGGGUCCAGGCCUCUUCAGGGUCAUGGGUAGGCCCAGGCCCACAUCUCUUUUUGUUGGGCCCAGGCCUCUUC